AGAUGCUUCUUAUGUGGGAUGGCACGAAUACUCCAUUAGUCACUAUCAAUUAUCUAAACAAAGUGAGUGCUUUUUACUUUCCUAAGUAGGCUUUGAACUCGGAGUACACUUGUGAUGUCAGUAGACAAAGUUCAAUUAGGAGAGGUGCGCAGUGGAAUGGAACUUUACCAAGCCGAAGUGGCUUACUCUUGCAAUAGCUUUAUUCUGCUUACAAUCGUUUGGGUUACAUCUUUAUCAAGGCCUCAAGGGCUAUAUAUGGACAUACUGAAGAACAACAACACUAAUGUAUAUAUGGUAAAAUUCUCUUCCACUUUUUUUUCUUCCUUUUGCAUUAUUUUGUGGAGGCAACAUAUCUUUUUUUUUUUUUUUUUACAUUUAGUUUAAGCUGAAAUUAGUGUUACUUAAUGUCUCUCCGUAAUCCUUGAAAGCUGGUGGUACUGGAGGAUUAAUACUUUUGCUUUUUUCCAUUUUAUAUAGAUUUUCAGGAUUUAUGAUUUUGGUAAGAGUGGAACCAUGAGUUUUGAAGUUGAAGAAGAUUUCUUGCAGAUUGUCUCUAUAUUCUCAUUCAUCCGUUAGCUUUUCAUUGGUAUGAAAGUUUAUAUAGUUGAAUCCAGUUUUUCUUUUAUGUGUUAUAUGUUUAAUUACAGAUAUUCUUUCAAGCUU
This 663-nucleotide long non-coding RNA is filed under the name Nicotiana tabacum (common tobacco). Its description in RNAcentral is "long non-coding RNA (NTAB_LNC017750)". Lineage: Eukaryota; Viridiplantae; Streptophyta; Magnoliopsida; Solanales; Solanaceae. The record is from RNAcentral.